CCGUGCUAGGCGGGGAGUUAGCGGUGCCCUCUACCCGCAAUCCGCUAUAGCGGGGCAUCAAUUCCCACCUUCGGGGCAGAUCCGUAUGGACAGCUGGCCUUGCAGGCGGUGUUGAAGGCCAGGUCCUGCGCAAUGGAACGUCGUGAACCCCGUCAGGUCCGGAAGGAAGCAGCGGUAAGCGAUCUCUUCCAUGUGCCGCAGGGAAGCCUGACUGGAGCCGGCUGCCUGGUGCACGCAUGCGGGCCGGUUUCAACGGUGGGUGCACGG
Molecule: signal recognition particle RNA, 267 nt
Filed under: Gaiellales bacterium
Lineage: Bacteria; Bacillati; Actinomycetota; Thermoleophilia; Gaiellales
Description: signal recognition particle sRNA large type
Rfam family: Bacterial large signal recognition particle RNA
About the family: The signal recognition particle (SRP) is a universally conserved ribonucleoprotein involved in the co-translational targeting of proteins to membranes. Archaeal SRP consists of a 7S RNA and homologues of the eukaryotic SRP19 and SRP54 proteins.
Source: RNAcentral